GAAAAACCUUACCCACCUUUGACAUGGCAGGAAGGCUCCAGAGAUGGGGCUGUGCUCGCAAGAGAACCUGCACACAGGUGCUGCAUGGCUGUCGUCAGCUCGUGUCGUGAGAUGUUGGGUUAAGUCCCGCAACGAGCGCAACCCUUGUCAUCAGUUGCUACGAAAGGGCACUCUGAUGAGACUGCCGGUGACAAACCGGAGGAAGGUGGGGAUGACGUCAAGUCCUCAUGGCCCUUAUGGGUGGGGCUACACACGUCAUACAAUGGCCGGUACAAAGGGCAGCCAACCCGCGAGGGGGAGCCAAUCCCACAAAGCCGGUCGUA
RNAcentral lists this ribosomal RNA (323 nucleotides) under uncultured bacterium. Its description in RNAcentral is "bacterial SSU rRNA". It matches the Rfam family "Bacterial small subunit ribosomal RNA", at positions 963 to 1290 of the family's 1533-position model. The record is from RNAcentral.